RNAcentral lists this ribosomal RNA (253 nucleotides) under uncultured bacterium. Its description in RNAcentral is "partial 16S ribosomal RNA". It matches the Rfam family "Bacterial small subunit ribosomal RNA", at positions 524 to 776 of the family's 1533-position model. The record is from RNAcentral.
UACGGGGGGGGCAAGCGUUGUUCGGAAUUAUUGGGCGUAAAGGGUGCGUAGGUGGCGGGGUAAGUCGGAUGUGAAAUCCCGGGGCUCAACCCCGGAACUGCAUUCGAUACUGCCUUGCUCGAGUACUGGAGAGGAGAUUGGAAUUUACGGUGUAGCAGUGAAAUGCGUAGAUAUCGUAAGGAAGACCAGUGGCGAAGGCGAAUCUCUGGACAGUUACUGACACUGAGGCACGAAGGCCAGGGGAGCAAACGGG